Molecule: ribosomal RNA, 253 nt
Filed under: uncultured bacterium
Lineage: Bacteria
Description: partial 16S ribosomal RNA
Rfam family: Bacterial small subunit ribosomal RNA
Source: RNAcentral
UACGUAGGGCGCAAGCGUUAUCCGGAAUUACUGGGCGUAAAGGGCUCGUAGGCGGCCAACUAAGUCAUACGUGAAAUCCCUCGGCUUAACCGGGGAACUGCGUCUGAUACUGGAUGGCUUGAGUUCGGGAGAGGGAUGCGGAAUUCCAGGUGUAGCGGUGAAAUGCGUAGAUAUCUGGAGGAACACCGGUGGCGAAGGCGGCAUCCUGGACCGAUACUGACGCUGAGGAGCGAAAGCCAGGGGAGCAAACGGG